UUAAAAUGCGCGCUGAAGCGCAUGCGGGCGGGGCGGGGGCCGAGGAGUUCGCGGAGCCCUCGGACCGGAGACUCGCGUGGGACCCGGUGCGCUUUGAGCCCUGGCACUGAGCGCUUUUAGCCGGGGAAGGGAAGCCGCAGCCCGCUUGUCCCCGUGACACGGGCGUGACUCCGAAUGCUAGUCUGAGAUCCAGAGGCCGGCUCACCUUCGGCUCCAUCCGUGCCUUCCCGGGUCCUCCCAAAGCGGGCCGCCUGGCAAGGUUCCCCGCGUGUGCUCCGGGCGCCCGCCCCGCCGCUUGUCGGGAGCAGCGCAAGGGCCGUGCCUCGGUCAGCCCGUGCCGCCGCGACCCGGGGAGGCGCACGGUAAGGGGUGGGGCCCGAGCAGUCCGCUCCCGGAGGUGGGCAACGCUGGCAGCCGCGGAGACUUCACAGCGUGCCGAGCGCUUCGCCCUGUCUCCCUUUCUCCCCGUGGGCGAAUUGACACGUCUAGUUAAGGGUCUCAUUCUGGAUUUAAACUCGGAAGUCUCUCUCUCUCUUACAGGAUUUCAGGCCCAGGCGCUUAACCAGCUCCAGGUUGUGAAUUUAGAUCCCAGAGGAAUUCCAAAAAUGUGCUGAGCAAUAACGGCAUCGUAGAAGUUACAUUUCUUUCUAGCGGACCACUGGCAGCACUUAGUUAGUUAGUAGUGUAGGUCUUAUUUGGAGAGGGCACCCUCCCUCCCUCUAUCAUUCAUCAUUUUUCAAAAUUCAACUUAAGUACCAAGAGCUCAGGAAAGGAAACAUCCCUAGAUCCCCCUGGAGAUCAGUCUAUACUUAUGUUGUAUUCCUCACUAGAAUGUAUAUAACCAGUGACCCGGUUCCCUAAAUAGUGCCAGCCUCACAAGAACAGGGUCUGGUCUUGGGUUCUAGUCCCCAAAGUUAGUCUCUGCUUUUGGCUCAAUUCCCAGACUAGAGUUAAUCCAGGAAAAACUCAGUACAGUUUAGAGUUUAUACUUUAUGUGUAAGUUUUCCCAAAUAUGAAUGGGGCUCCUAGCCUCUCUGCACACAUGAAAUUUAAUAAAUGCAUAUUGGGUAGCGUAACCUUAAUUUCAAUUCACAGGGGGUUGGGGAUGGAAAAACAGGCAACACAAAGGACUCACAUAAAACACAAUAAUCCCCAAAUUCCAGUGAAUUUAUCUUUUAACUCUGCAGAAAAUUUCUGGGAGCCUGGACUCCCUGGAAGAGAAAAAAGGCUUCUUAGAACUGUUAAAUCACAGAACAUACAUACAGCUUUCCCACUGGUGGACCGUCAGAGUGUGUGAAGAACAAAGUAUCAAUGCCAGUAUCUGUUCCACUCCUAGGACCAGUUUGUUAGCAGGAGCCAUAAGGGCGAUUCUCUUUUCUUCUCCAAGGCCAAUGCUGUUCAAGAAUAGGAUGUUGCCACUUCUUAACACCGUAUGGCUGGGAGAAGACAACAAAACUUUUCACCUGAAAGCAGCAAACCAAGCAUCCCAUCCACUUGAAAUGGAAAAUGCUUUAGAAUGUAAGGUAUUCAAAAGAUCUGUAUAAAAUAGUAUCUUUAGUAGCCUUUCCAUGAUUCUUUAGAGAAGAAAAUGACUUUGCAGCAUGCAAAAA
Long non-coding RNA from Sarcophilus harrisii (Tasmanian devil), 1610 nucleotides. RefSeq lists it as uncharacterized. The transcript is spliced from 2 exons. The record is from RefSeq and is a predicted model, not a curated record. Lineage: Eukaryota; Metazoa; Chordata; Mammalia; Dasyuromorphia; Dasyuridae.